GAAACGCAAAAAGAGUAUGAAUAAUCAUUUUAAAUCAUUAGACUAUUCACAUUAUCAUUAUAUAAUCGUGAACAAACAUCAAUGAUAUUUAAAUUACAUUUGUACCUUCGCUUGAUAGAAGGUAAAGAUCCAGGAGUGACGCGUGAGUGAUUACAAGUCAGCGUGAACAGUACGGGGUUACUGUUCAUCUAUUUAUAGGCACCAGACACAGCCCGAAAAAAAUUACAUUCGUGUCCUUGAUAACUAAUCAUAACCAUAAUACAAAUUAUCAGGGACUAUGUGGUCUUUUCCUCUUUAAGUCGGUGCCAUCCUUCGUCUUAAGCAUGUCAUCAUGCAGAAGCUCUUUCAAUUGUAGCUUCGGCAUAUAUCUUCAUGUCGUAUCUGCUUGUGUAUCGUCUUGUCGAAGGUGUUUUUGCUUGGAGGACCUUCGACGAAGAAGAAGGCCCCCAACACUGAGCAUUGCGUUUAAUAAGUUGGCCAAAUUUUAUUAGUAGUUACUAAAUGUAAGUAGAUACCAAACCAGAAUAAUAAUAGAUCAAAAUUAAUAAUAAAUCCCAAUGCGAUGCAAAAGACAAAUUGAAUUUAGUUCCAUAAUUUAAUCAUGUGAGAGUCCUGAGCUGCUCAUGACCGCAAGCACGACUAGUAUACCAGUUUUACACUCUGUAGAGGUUGUACCCUAUACCCACAAGUCGUGUAUCCCAUGCUGCUUGGGUUUGCAAGGCCCUUAGACACUGCCGAGGUGAAUGGAUAGGGAUCCACUAUGAGGCCUUUACAAGGUUCCACUAGCUUCAGAAAAUCCGCUACAGUUCAAGGAAGAGUAAUGCAGGAAUCCCCUGUCUGACCGCCAUCGCAGCAAAAUCAACCCGGGAACCUCCCUACAUGCCUAAUCCCCUACUGCCCUUGCCCCUAUCGGGUAAGGUAGUCCUCCACUAGCUUUCCUAGUAAGUCAGCCAAGGGCGUCCCAUUCCACCCUUGUGGUGGCACGUGUUUCUCAAGUUAAGCUUCAUGUUAUAAUUAAAAUAAUAGUCUUAUCAUGAGCAGAAAUAGAACAAUAAUAAAGAAUAAUCAUGUGUAAUAGUUAUCUCAACACCCAAAACUAUGUAUAGCAAUAGCAAUGACUACCCAAAAAUUCAGGGGUAAACAAGGUGAAAAGAUAACCAGACUAGGGCGACCUAUUGGGUCCCAUCAAAAUUAAGCCUAUGCAUGAAUAAAUGAUUAUAAAGAACAUUAUUGGGUAAUAAAAGUGGUCAAGGGCACAACUUGCCUUCAAUGAGCUCAUGCUCAUCAACUUCUACCUACUGAACAAUCGGAUCCUCGGCCACUUGCUCUUCUACUCGCCACAAUACAAACAAGCAUAGUACAAGGGAGAAAUUAACAUCACACCAAACAUGUAUACAAAACACAUAUUAAUAAUCUACACAUUAAAACGAGAUAAUAGGAAAAAAAUCACUAAAUUCAGAGUUACGGAUUUCGAGUUAUAAAUUUUGGAAGGUUUUAUGUGUUUGGUAAAAGAUUAAUUAAGUGAUCAAAUUUAAUAUGAGUUUCAUGUUAAAAUAGUGUUACCAGUUGAUAGAUAGUAUUAAUACAAAAUUAUAGGAACUGGAGUGGAUCAAUUUGGACUUAAAAUGAAUUAAAUAUGAAUUAUACAAGUUUCUGGAAUUAUAUUUGUAUUAAAAAUCAAUUUCUAUAAUAAUUUAUCUAAUUUCUUUGAUCACUGGACUGCGCGCACAAAAACAGAGAACUACAGGGGCUGCUACGUAAAAAGUUCAUGACUCAGAGUACGCCAGCGAUGGACUGCGAGUUCAUUAGAUGGUUCUCAAGGGUCUCUUAAGCAAAAUAGUCACGACUGGGGGUCUAUAGGCACCCACGGGCCACAAGAUCAGAGAUCGAGGACCCGGAUUAAGUCACGAAGCGGUACGUCCCACAGACCACCGGAUCGAAUAUCUAAGGCCACGAUUUUAUUAGGCUGGAUCUGCUUACAUCCGUCCGAUCUAAUCCAAGGGUCACGAUCUAAUCACGAAGGGAUACAUAUACUUUCUAAUCGGGACCGUGAAUCAUGCAAUCGAUGGCGUGGAUUUUAAAUGUCCUAGAUUGCGCUGGGUCUGUUUGUUCGUGAUCCGAUGGCUCAGGACGAAUCACGCGAAGGGUUAUUGUGACGUCUAAUCUACACCGCCCAAAACCGGAUGGACGACCGAGGGAUCCCAUUCUCCCUCCCAGCCAACCGUGGCGGCGCCGCCCGAUGUCGCGGUGGUUCCAAACCGGAGUUUCCCCCAUCACGCACGGUAGGGCGCUAAUCCCUAAUUCUAACCGCACUAUGCCACACCAAGGAAAGGAUGGACAAAAGGGUGCACUUAUUACCUUGGUAUGGAGCACGAGUGACACUAUCCGCGCAACGGCGCGGCUCUGCGGCAAGCUUCAACUACGGCGAGGAAUUCCACACGCCCAAGGGCACGAUUGUCCGAGAAACGGGUCUGAGUGACUUCCCCCUGCGUUCAGGCGAGAUUCUGUGGCUCCAAUCAGGCACUCGACGACGGUGGGGGCGAGUAGCUACGAGGCGGCUGCGUCGUCUCUCAAUGGCGGAGUAUGACACGGUCUCUGCAGUUGCUGGCGAGGGUUCCCUAUCUAAGUGCUUAAGUGGCCCACAAUGAAAACAGGGGCAACCACAUUUGUAGCCACGGCGUGCGCGAGUCCGCGCAAGGAUGUGACAACGGCAGCGCGACAUUUGCGAUGAGCUAAUGGCUUGUGGACGGGGUGGGAGGACCUGACGUGUGGGGGCCACAGUCAGCGCACAGCGUUCGCAGUC
Molecule: long non-coding RNA, 2803 nt
Filed under: Zea mays
Lineage: Eukaryota; Viridiplantae; Streptophyta; Magnoliopsida; Poales; Poaceae
Description: long non-coding RNA (ZMAY_LNC001015)
Source: RNAcentral